GUGAGGAAUUUUCCGCAAUGGGCGAAAGCCUGACGGAGCAAUGCCGCGUGAAGGAUGAAGGCCUAUGGGUUGUAAACUUCUUUUCUCAGAAAAGAAUUAUGACGGUAUCUGAGGAAUAAGCAUCGGCUAACUCUGUGCCAGCAGCCGCGGUAAGACAGAGGAUGCAAGCGUUAUCCGGAAUGAUUGGGCGUAAAGCGACUGUAGGUUGUUUAAAAAGUAUUCUGUCAAAGAUUAGGGCUUAACCCUAGAUAGGCAGAAUAAACUUUUAAGCUAGAGUUUGGUAGAGGCAGAGGGAAUGCCCGGUGGAGCGGCGAAAUGCGUAGAUAUCGGGAGGAACACCAAAGGCGAAGGCACUCUGCUGGGCCAAUACUAACACUGAGAGACGAAAGCGAGGGGAGCAAAUGGGAUUAGAAACCCGUGUAGUCC
RNAcentral lists this ribosomal RNA (426 nucleotides) under uncultured bacterium. RNAcentral's name for it is "partial 16S ribosomal RNA". It matches the Rfam family "Bacterial small subunit ribosomal RNA", at positions 354 to 796 of the family's 1533-position model. The record is from RNAcentral.